AUACGGGGGGGGCAAGCGUUGUCCGGAAUCAUUGGGCGUAAAGGGCGCGUAGGCGGAACGGUAAGUCAGAGGUGAAAAUCCGGAGCUCAACUUCGGACCUGUCUUUGAUACUGCUGUUCUUGAGUGCGGGAGAGGAAAGCGGAAUUCCCGGUGUAGCGGUGAAAUGCGUAGAUAUCGGGAAGAACACCGGUAGCGAAGGCGGCUUUCUGGCCCGCAACUGACGCUGAGGCGCGAAAGCGUGGGGAGCAAACAGGAUUAGAAACCCUAGUAGUCC
This 274-nucleotide ribosomal RNA is filed under the name uncultured bacterium. Its description in RNAcentral is "partial 16S ribosomal RNA". It matches the Rfam family "Bacterial small subunit ribosomal RNA", at positions 523 to 796 of the family's 1533-position model. The record is from RNAcentral.